RNAcentral lists this ribosomal RNA (241 nucleotides) under Clostridium perfringens. Its description in RNAcentral is "partial 16S ribosomal RNA". Lineage: Bacteria; Bacillati; Bacillota; Clostridia; Eubacteriales; Clostridiaceae. The record is from RNAcentral.
UGUCGCUGACGAACAGCAACAAAACAAAAAACAAAACUUAGCAAAUAAGUUAAAAAAGUUUUUUGAAGAAAAAUGUUGACAAAGUUCGAAAAUGGUGUUAAACUAAAGAAGUCGCUUGAGGGCGACAAAGAAAUGGUCUUUGAAAAUUAAACAGAAGAUAUUAACAUAAACCAGCAAUUCUUUUAUAAGUAAUAUGAGUAUAGAUUAAACUUUUAAAUUGAGAGUUUGAUCCUGGCUCAGG